Molecule: long non-coding RNA, 803 nt
Organism: Esox lucius (northern pike)
Lineage: Eukaryota; Metazoa; Chordata; Actinopteri; Esociformes; Esocidae
Exons: 3
Source: RefSeq, a predicted model, not a curated record
CGAUUCCUCACAAGCAGUCAGCACCAAAGGGGAAGCUAGGACGAAAGAGCGGUUCCUACAAAGCUGCCGUGUCUGAAAAAAUGGAAGACGCACACUGGAAUUGGGCAUCAAGAAGUGACCCUGAUAGAGAGGAGUCUUCUUAUACUAUUCUGCCAGGAAAGACGUCAGCGAAACGAGACGUGCAACCAGGACCAGCAAAGAGGUUUGAAAAGCAGUCUUUUUCCCUCCCUGCCAAAGGGGCAAAACAGAAGUGGUCGAGUACGGAGGUGGAUGCAGUUGAACAUUAUUUGAUGGAUUUCAUUUGAAUUGGAAAGACCCCUGGAAAACAAGACUGUGAGAGAUGUAUUUCUGCUUUUCCCCAAGCACUAGUAAACCGGGACUGGAGAUCUGUAAAAUUCUAUGUACGCAAUAGAAUAACUGCAGAUCAAAGACGUCCAAAUGCAAAAUACAUGUGAUUUUUAUUUGUUCUAGCUACAAAAGUUAUGUGGUUAAAAUCUUAACUUGAUAUGGUGGUUACUCAACCUGAAUCUUGAGUGUGAGCCAAAUUCUGUAAACCAUGAGUUGGUUUAUAUUUAGGAGCCUUUACGAAGUCUAAAAAUCAACAGAAGUAAAUGGGGCUGAUGAGCAUGUUUUUAUUUUUCAUCAGCAUCAAACAAAAUACAAUUUUAUUUUGAACAGGUGAUUAAGACAUUUAUUAUAACUAGGCUCACACUCAGCCAGCUGUUUUGGCAUUUGUUAUAGCUCUUUAAAGAAAGAUUAACUGUUCAUUUUUUGUCCAGUCAGUGACAAACCACUUUAAUAGU